GCGGAGGGAUCAUUGCUGGAACGCGCUUCGGCGCACCCAGAAACCCUUUGUGAACUUAUACCUUACUGUUGCCUCGGCGCUGGCCGGCCUCCUCACCGAGGCCCCCUGGAGACAGGGAGCAGCCCGCCGGCGGCCAAACAAACUCUUGUUUCUUAGUGAAUCUCUGAGUAAAAAACAUAAUGAAUCAAAACUUUCAACAACGGAUCUCUUGGUUCUGGCAUCGAUGAAGAACGCAGCGAAAUGCGAUAAGUAAUGUGAAUUGCAGAAUUCAGUGAAUCAUCGAAUCUUUGAACGCACAUUGCGCCCUCUGGUAUUCCGGAGGGCAUGCCUGUUCGAGCGUCAUUUCAACCCUCAAGCCUGGCUUGGUGUUGGGGCACCGCCUUUGCAAAAGGGCGGGCCCUGAAAUCUAGUGGCGAGCUCGCCAGGACCCCGAGCGUAGUAGUUAUAUCUCGUUCUGGAAGGCCCUGGCGGUGGCCUGCCGUUAAACCCCCAACUUCUAAAUUUUGACUCGGAUCAGGUAGGAAUUCCCGGCUGAA
This 536-nucleotide ribosomal RNA is filed under the name Diaporthe sp. UOC/PTS/RDWW-10. RNAcentral's name for it is "eukaryotic LSU rRNA". The stretch from base 189 to 342 matches the Rfam family "5.8S ribosomal RNA". Lineage: Eukaryota; Fungi; Ascomycota; Sordariomycetes; Diaporthales; Diaporthaceae. The record is from RNAcentral.